CAAGUCGAGGGGCAGCAUGAACUUAGCUUGCUAAGUUUGAUGGCGACCGGCGCACGGGUGAGUAACACGUAUCCAACCUUCCGUUUACUCAGGGAUAGCCUUUCGAAAGAAAGAUUAAUACCCGAUGGCAUAGUUCUUCCGCAUGGUGGAACUAUUAAAGAAUUUCGGUCAUCGAUGGGGAUGCGUUCCAUUAGGUAGUAGGCGGGGUAACGGCCCACCUAGCCGACGAUGGAUAGGGGUUCUGAGAGGAAGGUCCCCACAUUGGAACUGAGACACGGUCCAAACUCC
RNAcentral lists this ribosomal RNA (288 nucleotides) under uncultured Bacteroides sp. RNAcentral's name for it is "partial 16S ribosomal RNA". It matches the Rfam family "Bacterial small subunit ribosomal RNA", at positions 58 to 339 of the family's 1533-position model. Lineage: Bacteria; Pseudomonadati; Bacteroidota; Bacteroidia; Bacteroidales; Bacteroidaceae. The record is from RNAcentral.